GCGGCCGGGAUCGCGGAACGUGAUGGCUGUCGUCCCGGCGUCUCUCUCAGGACAGGACGUGGGGUUAGUCUACCUUUUCUCCUUCCCACUUUUGCAGAAAGCCGGGCCUCGCCGGGAGCCUGUGGGGACUAUGCGGAGGGCUCCCGCUCCCCGGUGGGCUGCGUUCGAGUCCCGCCGCCGGGCGCGGCUUCCCGGGACGCCUUUGCGGGUUUCGCGGACUGGCUCGGAGGCGAGGGGAGGCGGCCCCGGGGAGGAAGCCUGCCAGCGGCGGCUGCUCAUCAUUUGCAUAUCUUACAAUUAAAGACAGAAUACCACAGAUCUUAACUAAGGUUAUUGAUACAUUGCAUCGACAUAAAAGUGAAUUUUUUGAGAAACAUGGGGAGGAAGGCGUGGAAGCUGAAAAGAAAGCUAUCUCUCUCCUUUCUAAAUUACGGAAUGAAUUGCAAACAGAUAAACCAUUUAUCCCCUUGGUCGAGAAAUUUGUUGAUACGGAUAUAUGGAAUCAGUACCUAGAAUAUCAACAGAGUCUUUUAAAUGAAAGUGAUGGAAAAUCAAGAUGGUUCUACUCACCGUGGUUGUUGGUAGAAUGUUACAUGUAUCGAAGAAUUCAUGAAGCAAUUAUCCAGAGUCCACCAAUCGAUUACUUUGAUGUAUUUAAAGAAUCAAAAGAGCAAAAUUUCUAUGAGUCACAGGAAUCUAUCAUUGCUUUAUGUACUCACCUGCAACAAUUGAUAAGAACUAU
RNAcentral lists this small RNA (742 nucleotides) under Pongo abelii (Sumatran orangutan). RNAcentral describes it as "processed transcript". The record is from RNAcentral. Lineage: Eukaryota; Metazoa; Chordata; Mammalia; Primates; Hominidae.